Molecule: long non-coding RNA, 765 nt
Organism: Engraulis encrasicolus (European anchovy)
Lineage: Eukaryota; Metazoa; Chordata; Actinopteri; Clupeiformes; Engraulidae
Exons: 3
Source: RefSeq, a predicted model, not a curated record
GCCGGCCGUGCUGAGGAUGAAGACAUUCGCAAGAUAUGGAUUAAAAACGUACACCGAAAGGACUUUGCCCCCAAACAAGUAUUCAAUGGUGUGUGGAGUAUACUUCCCUGACGGCAGACCAACGCAGGAACACCCAUAUCCCAUAUUUAAUAUGGGAUAUGAAUAUAGUAAAGCACUAUCAUGUGGAAGACCACCCCCGAAGAGGAGAUGUCUCCAGCCCCCAACAGAGAGACUUGGAUUAAUGUUGAGAGGAUUAUUGUUCAAUACGGUGCAGAAACACUUGGUUCAGUUAUAUGUAUAUAUCAAUCAUCUUUCAAGAAAUCCUUCAUCCCCUCAGCUGUGACCAUACUGAACAAGAUAUGAACUGUCCAGCUGCAGCAUGAAUGUAUUGUGUGGUCGUCUUUUUUUUUUUUUUUUUGGUCAAGCCUUGUCUAAUGUCUGUGAGAAUCACUGAAGUCACGCCAAAGACAAUUUUCUGUUUCAUGGUUGUAACAGACAAUAAAGUUUUAUCUAAUCUCAUCAUAUCAAUGAGAAUCAGUGCACCUGACAAAGGUAUGACAUACUGUAUACUGUAGGCUUAAGUGCUAAAGGAAAAUGAAUUAACCUUAGCGGUUUUGAAUUGUUUAUUUACACAGUUAUUAAAAUGCAUACAGAUAGUGAAUGUAAUAUAGUUCAAUACUGUGUGCUUACUCGAUGGUGUUUUUUAUAUGUGCUGAACUGAAAAACAACCUAGCUACUUGUGCUCAAUACACUAAAUGACUCUUG